AGAGUUAAACAGUACGUGAAAUUGUUGAAAGGGAAACGAUUGAAGUCAGUCAUACCGAUGGGUGAUCAGCCAUUUGGGUGCGAUUGUGUGGGUGAUGAGGAGCCUCACCGCCUUCACGUCUGCAUAUUUGGUGCUUUAUUGGUGUACUUACUCGUAUGGUAGGUCAACGUCAAUUUCGGUCAUCAUAAAAUGACGGGAGGAAUGUAGCUUUGAUCUCGUAUUAAAGUGUUAUAGCCUCUGGUAGAUGUGGUGACUAGGAUUGAGGAUUGCAACGAACCCUUCGGGGCCACUCGUCUGGCCUCUGGUGGUUACUCUGGUAUCGAAAGCUUGCUUAUGAUCAUCAAAGUUGGCUGCCAAAAGGUUAGAACGGGUUGAAUUCGUUAAGGAUGUUGACGUAAUGGCUUUAAACGA
RNAcentral lists this unclassified non-coding RNA (411 nucleotides) under uncultured Glomeromycotina. RNAcentral's name for it is "sequence contains 28S rRNA gene". The record is from RNAcentral. Lineage: Eukaryota; Fungi; Glomeromycota.